AGCGGUAAGGCCUCUUCGGGGGUACACGAGCGGCGAACGGGUGAGUAACACGUGAGUAAUCUGCCCUUCACUUCGGGAUAAGCCUCGGAAACGGGGUCUAAUACCGGAUACGACACUCCUUCGCAUGAGGUGGGUGUGGAAAGUUUUUCGGUGGGGGAUGUGCUCGCGGCCUAUCAGCUUGUUGGUGGGGUAAUGGCCUACCAAGGCUUCGACGGGUAGCCGGCCUGAGAGGGUGACCGGCCACACUGGGACUGAGACACGGCCCAGACUCCUACGGGAGGCAGCAGUGGGGAAUAUUGGACAAUGGGCGGAAGCCUGAUCCAGCAACGCCGCGUGAGGGAUGACGGCCUUCGGGUUGUAAACCUCUUUCAGUACCGACGAAGCGAAAGUGACGGUAGGUACAGAAGAAGCACCGGCCAACUACGUGCCAGCAGCCGCGGUAAUACGUAGGGUGCGAGCGUUGUCCGGAAUUAUUGGGCGUAAAGGGCUCGUAGGCGGUUUGUCACGUCGGGAGUGAAAACACUGGGCUUAACUCAGUGCUUGCUUUCGAUACGGGCAGACUAGAGGCAUGCAGGGGAGAACGGAAUUCCUGGUGUAGCGGUGAAAUGCGCAGAUAUCAGGAGGAACACCGGUGGCGAAGGCGGUUCUCUGGGCAUGUCCUGACGCUGAGGAGCGAAAGUGUGGGGAGCGAACAGGAUUAGAUACCCUGGUAGUCCACACCGUAAACGUUGGGCGCUAGGUGUGGGGCCUAUUCCAUGGGUUCCGUGCCGCAGCUAACGCAUUA
RNAcentral lists this ribosomal RNA (784 nucleotides) under uncultured Nocardioides sp. RNAcentral describes it as "bacterial SSU rRNA". It matches the Rfam family "Bacterial small subunit ribosomal RNA", at positions 65 to 862 of the family's 1533-position model. The record is from RNAcentral. Lineage: Bacteria; Bacillati; Actinomycetota; Actinomycetes; Propionibacteriales; Nocardioidaceae.